GAGGACCGUAUUCAUGGAAGAGGAUCGAACAGUAAAGAGCCCAGCAUUUGAUAAAAAUGAGAAUAUAUCGCCUCAAGCAGAAGCAGAUGAAGAUAUGGGAGAUGAAGUAGACAGUAUGUUGGAUAAAUCUGAAGGAAGAACAUCAACAACAAAUUUUGUGAGCAGUAUAUAACUACAUUUCAGAAGUCUUAUAUGGAUGUACAGAAAUUCAAUGAGGAAAAAGAAAAAUCAGUGAAUAGUUGUCAAAAAGAACAACAAGCAUUGAAACUGUCCAAAUGUAGUCAGAACCAGACCCUGGAAGCAGGUAAAGAAAUGCAUGAGAAGUCCAUGGAGCUGCAUCAUUGGACUCAAACUGAAUGGUCCAUGUGUUGCCACUGAUGUGAGCCAUU
Molecule: long non-coding RNA, 389 nt
Filed under: Mus musculus (house mouse)
Lineage: Eukaryota; Metazoa; Chordata; Mammalia; Rodentia; Muridae
Description: predicted gene, 21679
Source: RNAcentral